AGUGAACGCUGGCGGUAGGCCUAACACAUGCAAGUCGAACGGCAGCACAGUAAGAGCUUGCGCUUACGGGUGGCGAGUGGCGGACGGGUGAGGAAUACAUCGGAAUCUACUUUUUCGUGGGGGAUAACGUAGGGAAACUUACGCUAAUACCGCAUACGACCUACGGGUGAAAGCAGGGGACCUUCGGACCUUGCGCGAUCGAAUGAGCCGAUGUCGGAUUAGCUGGUUGGCGGGGUAAAGGCCCACCAAGGCGACGAUCCGUAGCUGGUCUGAGAGGAUGAUCAGCCACACUGGAACUGAGACACGGUCCAGACUCCUACGGGAGGCAGCAGUGGGGAAUAUUGGACAAUGGGCGCAAGCCUGAUCCAGCCAUGCCGCGUGGGUGAAGAAGGCCUUCGGGUUGUAAAGCCCUUUUGUUGGGAAAGAAAAGCAGCAGGUUAAUACCCCGCUGUUCUGACGGUACCCAAAGAAUAAGCACCGGCUAACUUCGUG
Molecule: ribosomal RNA, 492 nt
Filed under: uncultured bacterium
Lineage: Bacteria
Description: partial 16S ribosomal RNA
Rfam family: Bacterial small subunit ribosomal RNA
Source: RNAcentral